AACGAACGCUGGCGGCGUGCCUAACACAUGCAAGUCGAACGAGAAUUUUCCUUUCGGGGAGAUAGUAAAGUGGCGCAAGGGUGAGUAACACGUGAAUAAUCUGCCUACGAAUUCGGGAUAACGCGGGGAAACCUGUGCUAAUACCGGAUAAGACCACGUCUCUUAUGUGAUGUGGCCAAAGGAGUCUCAAACUCCGUUUGUAGAUGAGUUCGCGGACCAUUAGCUUGUUGGAGGGAUAACAGCCCCCCAAGGCGACGAUGGUUAGCCGGCCUGAGAGGGUGAUCGGCCACACUGGAACUGAGACACGGUCCAGACUUCUACGGAAGGCAGCAGUAAGGAAUAUUGGACAAUGGAGGCAACUCUGAUCCAGCCAUGCCGCGUGCAGGAAG
This 389-nucleotide ribosomal RNA is filed under the name uncultured Nitrospina sp. Its description in RNAcentral is "bacterial SSU rRNA". It matches the Rfam family "Bacterial small subunit ribosomal RNA", at positions 29 to 410 of the family's 1533-position model. Lineage: Bacteria; Pseudomonadati; Nitrospinota; Nitrospinia; Nitrospinales; Nitrospinaceae. The record is from RNAcentral.